ACUUAAUACUUUAAAUUAUAUAAAGUUGUAGCAAUUCCAUUUGGUUGAAUAUGCGUCUGACAGUGACAUACCAUUUGUCUACGUUCAAGAUUGAAUGGGUGAAGAAAUGAUACAUUUUUUUGUAUGUUUACUCACUUUAUCUUGAGGCCAUUAAGGUUAACCCUAUUACUGCCACGACACAUCAACCACAUACCAUAUUGUUUUUUACUAUACUAAAAUAAUCACCUGAAGUCUGUCUUUUUCAGACAUUACAGCAUUUUAGACAUUUACAGUAUAACAAAAUGAGGGAAGUCAAUUAAAUAUAAUCAGUCUGUGGCCGCUAUCACUCCACCUUAGUCAGGUAAGGAAGUGAUUCAGAACAUACCUAUUUUCCUGGCAUCUGAUUGGCUGCUUCUGUCGAUGGACAGUGCAUACGUUUCCCUUCCCUUUGUACAAUGUCUCAUGUGAACAGUACCAUUUGUUUCUUAGGUCAAAUUGUUCUUGGUCAUAUUCUCGAUUCUUCUUGAACGUUAUCAAAGAUAAGGUCUUUGAGAUGAUUGUGGCAAUUCAACUGACAAGUAUUGCGAUUGAAGUAACUGCUGUACUCGCACAUGAUGACUAGGAGGUUAAGAAUAUACAUAUGUCGGAUUUGAUCAGUUUCGUCACAGGGGUAAAAUAAUCCUGCAGCUGGAUACAUUUGGUAUGUUUGUA
Molecule: long non-coding RNA, 690 nt
Filed under: Salmo salar (Atlantic salmon)
Lineage: Eukaryota; Metazoa; Chordata; Actinopteri; Salmoniformes; Salmonidae
Description: lncRNA (ENSSSAG00000093881.1)
Source: RNAcentral